RNAcentral lists this long non-coding RNA (547 nucleotides) under Ursus maritimus (polar bear). RNAcentral describes it as "lncRNA (ENSUMAG00000003175.1)". Lineage: Eukaryota; Metazoa; Chordata; Mammalia; Carnivora; Ursidae. The record is from RNAcentral.
GAGAUGUCCAAGUCCUGACAUUUUUCUUCCCUUCUCCAAACAAGUGGGUCCCCCCAGAAAGAAAGUGUCUUUGCCUCAUUGGCUCUCCAUGAUAUCAUCAACACUUGCUUUCCUUGCAGCGGCGUGGCAUGGUGGCCCAGGAGCACCGUCUCCACAGGAACUGCCUGGCUCCAGGGAAGCCCACAGCUUUGACCCAAGGAGCGAACCACCUAUGGCUGCAGCUGUUCCUAGGAGAUCCUUAUUUGUGCACGGCGUUCGAGACCUUCAGUCAUUCCUGGCUCCUUGACCUGGACUCCAUUCAUUUGGGCACCAUUUGCAGCUGAGAGAAAACGCGGGGUAAUCCUCAUGUACUUAACCUUGAUCCACCUGUAUCAACGGCCCCACUUGUGAAGAGGCCUGAAGAGAUCUGACCAGCAGAUAGGGCCCCCAGCGGGCUUCAAGUCUGUACAAGCACAGCGCGCUCUAAGUGACUCCUCCCUGCGAAUGGAAGCAAAGCCCCGUCACCUUCUGCCCUCCUGAAAACAGUCCAAAUCACAACAGGCAAGUG